This 452-nucleotide long non-coding RNA is filed under the name Salvia miltiorrhiza (redroot sage). RNAcentral describes it as "long non-coding RNA (SMIL_LNC013429)". Lineage: Eukaryota; Viridiplantae; Streptophyta; Magnoliopsida; Lamiales; Lamiaceae. The record is from RNAcentral.
AGAUGAGCUCAUUCGUAGAUAUUCAUCGACAACAUCAGAUGAUGUCCCAUACGCCAAUACCCUCAUUGCUGCAGUACACUUUUGCAAGGCCGAAAGACCUAGUCUGCCAGUAGCAUCACGUCUCUGUUGAAAAAACUCGUCAUUAGCAGAUGCAGCCUCCACUAUUCGAAGGAAUAGCAUUUGCUGCAUGCGAAAUCGACGUCGGAAAACCUCUGGAGGAUACGUCGGGCUGGUACCAAAAUAGUCGUUGAUUAAACGCUCUGCACCAAGCUCACGUUCCCUAUCACAAUAUCUCCUCCUGCCUGUUGGAAUUUGAUGUCCUACAAACAAAUUAGUAUUGGUUAGGAUCAUAUUCUCGAUGAUGUUAUCAAAUUGACGAUUUUGUUGAUAAACUCGUUCUUCCCAUUCAUCGAAUUCAUUGGAAUGGGAAUCAUCAGAACUUGAGUUUGAAU